RNAcentral lists this long non-coding RNA (296 nucleotides) under Durio zibethinus. RNAcentral's name for it is "long non-coding RNA (DZIB_LNC002356)". The record is from RNAcentral. Lineage: Eukaryota; Viridiplantae; Streptophyta; Magnoliopsida; Malvales; Malvaceae.
GAUUCCACCGUGACAUAUAUGUUCGCAUGUCUGUAUAACUAACCUGAUUUGCCUCAGAAUUAUACAUCAUCUUCUCUGCUUACAAAAGUUGCUGGUUGGGUCCCCUAACAAUACUGAAACUGGUACUGUAUAAUUCAGUUGACACCAAAUCUCACGAGAAAUCAGAAACCAUAAGAUUUCUCAGCCCUGUAGGUCCCCUAACAAAACUGAAACUGGUACUGUAUAAUUCAGCUGACACCAAAUCUCAUGAGAAAUCAGAAACCGUAAGAUUUCUCAGCCCUGUAGGCCUCUGCUGC